AGUAGCCACGGUAAUUCCAGCUCCAAUAGCGUAUAUUAAAGUUGUUGCAGUUAAAAAGCUCGUAGUUAAAUUUUGGGAUCGAUACGUCAGUCAUGCUUAUUAGUACGUACUGUCGUCAUCGAUUUCUCCCUUCUGACGAACUAUGAUGUCAUUAAUUUGGUGUUAUAGAAAAUCAGGACUGUUACUUUGAAAAAAUUAGAGUGUUUAAAGCAGGCAUUAGCUUGAAUACAUUAGCAUGGAAUAAUGAAAUAGGAUGUUUGAACCUAUUUUGUUGGUUUUUAGGAUCAACAUAAUGAUUAAUAGGGAUAGUUAAAGGCAUUAGUAUUCAAUUGUUAGAGGUGAAAUUCUUGGAUUUAUUGAAGACUAACUACUGCGAAAGCAUUUGCUAAGGAUGUUUUCAUUAAUCAAGAACGAAAGUUAGAGGAUCGAAGACGAUCAGAUACCAUCGUAGUCUUAACCAUAAACUAUGCUGACUAGGGAUCGGAUGAUGUUAAUUUUUUAAUGACUCAUUUGGCGCCUUACG
Molecule: ribosomal RNA, 523 nt
Filed under: uncultured Glomeraceae
Lineage: Eukaryota; Fungi; Glomeromycota; Glomeromycetes; Glomerales; Glomeraceae
Description: SSU rRNA
Rfam family: Eukaryotic small subunit ribosomal RNA
Source: RNAcentral